GAUGAACGCUGGCGGCGUGCUUAACACAUGCAAGUCGAACGAAGCACUUUAUUUGAUUUCCUUCGGGACUGAUUAUUUUGUGACUGAGUGGCGGACGGGUGAGUAACGCGUGGGUAACCUGCCUUGUACAGGGGGAUAACAGUUGGAAACGGCUGCUAAUACCGCAUAAGCGCACAGCAUCGCAUGAUGCAGUGUGAAAAACUCCGGUGGUAUAAGAUGGACCCGCGUUGGAUUAGCUAGUUGGUGAGGUAACGGCCCACCAAGGCGACGAUCCAUAGCCGACCUGAGAGGGUGACCGGCCACAUUGGGACUGAGACACGGCCCAAACUCCUACGGGAGGCAGCAGUGGGGAAUAUUGCACAAUGGGCGAAAGCCUGAUGCAGCGACGCCGCGUGAGCGAGGAAGUAUUUCGGUAUGUAAAGCUCUAUCAGCAGGGAAGAUAAUGACGGUACCUGACUAAGAAGCACCGGCUAAAUACGUG
Molecule: ribosomal RNA, 481 nt
Filed under: uncultured bacterium
Lineage: Bacteria
Description: partial 16S ribosomal RNA
Rfam family: Bacterial small subunit ribosomal RNA
Source: RNAcentral